AGAGUUUGAUCCUGGCUCAGGACGAACGCUGGCGGCGUGCCUAAUACAUGCAAGUCGUACGCUUCUUUUUCCACCGGAGCUUGCUCCACCGGAAAAAGAGGAGUGGCGUACGGGUGAGUAACACGUGGGUAACCUGCCCAUCAGAAGGGGAUAACACUUGGAAACAGGUGCUAAUACCGUAUAACAAUCGAAACCGCAUGGUUUUGAUUUGAAAGGCGCUUUCGGGUGUCGCUGAUGGAUGGACCCGCGGUGCAUUAGCUAGUUGGUGAGGUAACGGCUCACCAAGGCCACGAUGCAUAGCCGACCUGAGAGGGUGAUCGGCCACAUUGGGACUGAGACACGGCCCAAACUCCUACGGGAGGCAGCAGUAGGGAAUCUUCGGCAAUGGACGAAAGUCUGACCGAGCAACGCCGCGUGAGUGAAGAAGGUUUUCGGAUCGUAAAACUCUGUUGUUAGAGAAGAACAAGGAUGAGAGUAACUGUUCAUCCCUUGACGGUAUCUAACCAGAAAGCCACGGCUAACUACGUGCCAGCAGCCGCGGUAAUACGUAGGUGGCAAGCGUUGUCCGGAUUUAUUGGGCGUAAAGCGAGCGCAGGCGGUUUCUUAAGUCUGAUGUGAAAGCCCCCGGCUCAACCGGGGAGGGUCAUUGGAAACUGGGAGACUUGAGUGCAGAAGAGGAGAGUGGAAUUCCAUGUGUAGCGGUGAAAUGCGUAGAUAUAUGGAGGAACACCAGUGGCGAAGGCGGCUCUCUGGUCUGUAACUGACGCUGAGGCUCGAAAGCGUGGGGAGCAAACAGGAUUAGAUACCCUGGUAGUCCGCGCCGUAAACGAUGAGUGCUAAGUGUUGGAGGGUUUCCGCCCUUCAGUGCUGCAGCUAACGCAUUAAGCACUCCGCCUGGGGAGUACGACCGCAAGGUUGAAACUCAAAGGAAUUGACGGGGGCCCGCACAAGCGGUGGAGCAUGUGGUUUAAUUCGAAGCAACGCGAAGAACCUUACCAGGUCUUGACAUCCUUUGACCACUCUAGAGAUAGAGCUUCCCCUUCGGGGGCAAAGUGACAGGUGGUGCAUGGUUGUCGUCAGCUCGUGUCGUGAGAUGUUGGGUUAAGUCCCGCAACGAGCGCAACCCUUAUUGUUAGUUGCCAUCAUUCAGUUGGGCACUCUAGCAAGACUGCCGGUGACAAACCGGAGGAAGGUGGGGAUGACGUCAAAUCAUCAUGCCCCUUAUGACCUGGGCUACACACGUGCUACAAUGGGAAGUACAAUGAGUUGCGAAGUCGCGAGGCUAAGCUAAUCUCUUAAAGCUUCUCUCAGUUCGGAUUGCAGGCUGCAACUCGCCUGCAUGAAGCCGGAAUCGCUAGUAAUCGCGGAUCAGCACGCCGCGGUGAAUACGUUCCCGGGCCUUGUACACACCGCCCGUCACACCACGAGAGUUUGUAACACCCGAAGUCGGUGAGGUAACCUUUUUGGAGCCAGCCGCCUAAGGUGGGAUAGAUGAUUGGGGUGAAGUCGUAACAAGGUAACC
Molecule: ribosomal RNA, 1522 nt
Filed under: Enterococcus faecium
Lineage: Bacteria; Bacillati; Bacillota; Bacilli; Lactobacillales; Enterococcaceae
Description: bacterial SSU rRNA
Rfam family: Bacterial small subunit ribosomal RNA
Source: RNAcentral